GGGGGGGGGGGGGGGGGGGGCGGGGGCAGGGGGGGCGAGCGGACGGGGCGGGGGUAGGGGCGGGCGGGGGGGGAACACGGGGGAACGUGCCGUUAGGGUCGGAAUAACUCAGGGAAACUUGUGCUAAUACCGAAUGUGCCCUUCGGGGGAAAGAUUUAUCGCCUUUAGAGCGGCCCGCGUCUGAUUAGCUAGUUGGUUGAGGUAAUGGCUCACCAAGGCGACGAUCAGUAGCUGGUCUGAGAGGAUGAUCAGCCACAUUGGGACUGAGACACGGCCCAAACUCCUACGGGAGGCAGCAGUGGGGAAUCUUGCGCAAUGGGCGAAAGCCUGACGCAGCCAUGCCGCGUGAAUGAUGAAGGUCUUAGGAUUGUAAAAUUCUUUCACCGGGGACGAUAAUGACGGUACCCGGAGAAGAAGCCCCGGCUAACUUCGUG
RNAcentral lists this ribosomal RNA (434 nucleotides) under uncultured bacterium. RNAcentral describes it as "partial 16S ribosomal RNA". It matches the Rfam family "Bacterial small subunit ribosomal RNA", at positions 37 to 507 of the family's 1533-position model. The record is from RNAcentral.